CAGCUAGGCCGUCCAUGAGGUCGUA
Molecule: microRNA, 25 nt
Filed under: Meleagrid alphaherpesvirus 1 (Turkey herpesvirus)
Lineage: Duplodnaviria; Heunggongvirae; Peploviricota; Herviviricetes; Herpesvirales; Orthoherpesviridae
Description: hvt-miR-H9-3p
Gene: hvt-miR-H9-3p
Source: miRBase by way of RNAcentral